This 75-nucleotide transfer RNA is filed under the name gamma proteobacterium HTCC5015. RNAcentral's name for it is "tRNA-Gln". It matches the Rfam family "tRNA". Rfam says of the family: Transfer RNA (tRNA) molecules are approximately 80 nucleotides in length. Their secondary structure includes four short double-helical elements and three loops (D, anti-codon, and T loops). Further hydrogen bonds mediate the characteristic L-shaped molecular structure. tRNAs have two regions of fundamental functional importance: the anti-codon, which is responsible for specific mRNA codon recognition, and the 3' end, to which the tRNAs corresponding amino acid is attached (by aminoacyl-tRNA synthetases). tRNAs cope with the degeneracy of the genetic code in two manners: having more than one tRNA (with a specific anti-codon) for a particular amino acid; and 'wobble' base-pairing, i.e. permitting non-standard base-pairing at the 3rd anti-codon position. The record is from RNAcentral. Lineage: Bacteria; Pseudomonadati; Pseudomonadota; Gammaproteobacteria.
UGGGGUGUCGCCAAGCGGCAAGGCAGCAGGUUUUGAUCCUGCCAUUCGCAGGUUCGAAUCCUGCCACCCCAGCCA